GCACUGCUGAGGAGUCCCACAAUAGGACAAAACAGCUGUGCAGUGC
RNAcentral lists this non-coding RNA (46 nucleotides) under Schistosoma margrebowiei. The record is from RNAcentral. Lineage: Eukaryota; Metazoa; Platyhelminthes; Trematoda; Strigeidida; Schistosomatidae.